This 200-nucleotide unclassified non-coding RNA is filed under the name soil metagenome. RNAcentral describes it as "partial contains internal transcribed spacer 2 and large subunit ribosomal RNA". The record is from RNAcentral.
CGCCGCUCACCUUAAAAGGAUUAGCUGGACAUGUCGUGAGACUUGGUUCUACUUGGCGUAAUAAGUAUUUCGCUGAGGACAUCUCUUCGGGGGUGGCCAUGACUCUGGUACAAACGUCUGCUUUCUAACCCGAUGGUCGCUUGCGACCUCACUUUUUAUGAUCUGGCCUCAAAUCAGGUAGGACUACCCGCUGAACUUAA